Molecule: long non-coding RNA, 440 nt
Filed under: Heterocephalus glaber (naked mole-rat)
Lineage: Eukaryota; Metazoa; Chordata; Mammalia; Rodentia; Bathyergidae
Description: lncRNA (ENSHGLG00100043303.1)
Source: RNAcentral
GGAGGCCAGCCCAGACUGCAUGGGGCACUUCCUGAGCGCUGGGAUCGAGGGCAUGUGCCACCACGCCCAGCUGCCAAUGUCUGUUCGGCCUUAAAAGGAGAUGCUCAUAUUUGAAAUUGCUGAUUUGGACAGUCUGAGAACCACAAUUCCUGAGGUCAACUAGGAGGAUGGGUGUUUUAAAAACUACACUCGUUGCUUUGCUCCCACUGAAGGUCAGGUCUUGACUUCAGAAACAUUCAUGAGGGAGGCAGGGCACAGCGGUGAAUGUGUCUCAUCCCAGCACUCUAGGAGGUUGAAGCAGGAGGACUGCAAGCUGGAGCUCAGCCUGGGAAAUUCAGCAAGACCCUGUUCAAAAUAUAAAGAGACAGGGUGUCACUACGAAGUUCUUGAACUCACUAUGUAGCUGGCCUUGAGCUCCCACCAAUCCUCCAGCCUCAGCC